UACUUCUCAGAACGGGCAGACCCACGUCUUCUGCUGUGAUCGCCCUCUGUGGUGGCCUCCGGGUGGGAGCCCGGACACUAAUGGAGGUUGGCCCUGGAGCUGAUUUAAGGAUUCUUUGGUAGUCACAGAUAUAUAGUUGCCUCUGUAUGUUUGGCACAUGAAAACCAAUAAUGGACAUACCCAAGCUGAUUUAAGCUUUGGUCAGUGAUCUGUAUGGUUGACUCCUUGUAUAGGAGCAUGGAGACCCAUGUGAGUAACGGUCCAUUGUUGUCAUCUUGGUUUGAGUAGUUUGUUUAGAGUAUCUGGUGUAAUAUUAAAACAAGUAUUAAAUAUAAGAAGAAAGACCGGCC
Long non-coding RNA from Cebus imitator (Panamanian white-faced capuchin), 350 nucleotides. RefSeq lists it as uncharacterized. The record is from RefSeq and is a predicted model, not a curated record. The transcript is spliced from 3 exons. Lineage: Eukaryota; Metazoa; Chordata; Mammalia; Primates; Cebidae.